GUGUAAUCUCUAGUAUUUCGAUAUUCCUGGUUCUUUCUUGACAGUAGGAUAAACAAUGUGCAGUAAGUCACAUAUUUCCAAAAUAUCUGGGGGGGCUAUUACGGUUUCUGAAACGAGGUGAAAAUUACAAAAAACCGUGAUAGCCCCUCUGAGAAGGUGCAAUUGGUGUUGCAAAAGCGAAUUGGUAUUUAAUCAACGAGAUUCAGAGACGGAAGCACAAGCCCAGGAUGAUCCUUCCCGAGAAAGCAGUCUCCGUACUUCGUCUGGAACCAAGAUUCAUAACUCCAGCGAUUAGAACCUGUUCGGAUGCACUCAAAUGCAAAGUUUGUCGUGCCAUGAGAUAUUUUCCUCCUGAACAAUGCAGUAUGGUCAAUGUUAAAGUGAUCGGGUGUUUACUGUUUGUAUGUGAUGGCGACACACUAUAGUUAUACCGGUGAUUCAAGAACAGAUUGGAAUAUUCCAUCUGCGACUUGCUCUCUUUGGCGAAAGGAUAUUUCUUGAUGCAUUUGACUUUAUUUGAUAAUCUAACGAGUUUGUAUGAAAAUGUCUUAGAAGUAUGGGAGAACAUACAGAGGAAUGCCAUUGAAAUGCAUGCAACUCAUAAAAUUAUGCUGAGUCCUGCGGAUAGUUGGUUACAUGUAGACUCAACGCAAUUAGAAACAUAUCUAAACCAAUGGUAGAAAAACGUUAAGGAUAAAGAAUUUUAUCAAGACCUUAUGAUUCUGCAAUAAAAAAUGCAGUCGUUUGUCAAUCAAACCAGCGACGUUAAUGGCGUGCAUUUCUUAGGAGAACAAUCAAUGGAGAACAACAUGCAAGGACAUGGGGAAUGGCGCGCGAAUAGACUUCGACGCGAAUGUAUUCGACAGUACGUUAAGCGGCAUCCUCGACUUGGCAUUCUGGGAGGAAGGGACAAGUACGUAUUGAAAUUUUUAAUUUAUUUUAAUUCAUACACAAUUUUAUAAAUUAUAUGUAUGUAUACGUACAGAGCGAUUCUUAAUUCGUGUCCCAACUUUUUUUGUGUAUAAAUUAAAAUAAAUUAAAAAUUUCAAUACGUACUUGUCCCUUCCUCCCGUUGUCUUUUCUUCUUUUUUGAAAUGGCAAAUGCUUAAUGUAUUUCAACGUGAAUUAACUAAUUAUUUACUAUGUAAUGCCGUUAACUUUGUAAGACGUCGAACGAUAUAGCAACGGAUUGGCUUCAACGCCUGAUUUUAAAUAGCGACCUUAAAAUUCUCGGGGUAAAUGUACGAAACAGUCGGCUAAAAUUAACUAGAAGUCAAUUUUUUAAUUAAAUGGAAGAUUUAUUGAUUAUACAAUUGUAACAAUAGCUCUUUGCAGUAACAAUAUAAUUUUACCUGUAUUACAAAUAGAUUUUUUUGUAUGGUACAAGGUAUUUUGCAUAAUGGGAAUUUUAUUAUGUACAGUUUCAGAUUAAAACAUGGUUAGAAUAAAUCAUGAUUAGUAUAUUUAUC
Molecule: long non-coding RNA, 1469 nt
Organism: Solenopsis invicta (red fire ant)
Lineage: Eukaryota; Metazoa; Arthropoda; Insecta; Hymenoptera; Formicidae
Exons: 5
Source: RefSeq, a predicted model, not a curated record